This 570-nucleotide transfer RNA is filed under the name uncultured bacterium. Its description in RNAcentral is "16S-23S ribosomal RNA intergenic spacer". The stretch from base 62 to 135 matches the Rfam family "tRNA". The record is from RNAcentral.
CUAGAGAAAGCAUCCUGGCACCCACAACCUAUCGGUUGUUCUUGAAACAGCAAACAGACGAGGGUCUGUAGCUCAGUCGGUUAGAGCACCGUCUUGAUAAGGCGGGGGUCGUUGGUUCGAUUCCAACCAGACCCACCAACUGACUUUCGCUAACACUGCGCGCUUCGGUGUUGUCGAGCAACUUGCAUACACGAGUAUGCGGCGUUGCUCUCCGCCUUGAAUCGCUUGGUUAUCGAAAGCCAGUCAAGCGUCUAUCAAGGGAUAUGUUUCGGCGUAUCAGCGGGGGAUUAGCUCAGCUGGGAGAGCACCUGCUUUGCAAGCAGGGGGUCGUCGGUUCGAUCCCGUCAUCCUCCACCAGGACCUAAAGCUAAGUACACGAGGUGUGCUUAGCUUUGGCUUCUGGCCAGAAAGCUUAAAUGCUGUUUGCUCUUUAACAAAACGGAAGAAGGUUGUAUCGCGCUGUGAUGAGCAGUGACGAUACAUGUGAUUGCAUCUGAUAUUGACGCUUACAGCUAGGCGUUGAUAUCGGCACAAAUGAGUUGCCUAUGGCCGCUCUCGCGAGAGAGUUCA